Molecule: long non-coding RNA, 429 nt
Filed under: Vigna radiata
Lineage: Eukaryota; Viridiplantae; Streptophyta; Magnoliopsida; Fabales; Fabaceae
Description: long non-coding RNA (VRAD_LNC004756)
Source: RNAcentral
UGAGCUGCAGCAAUGGAAACCGCAUAAUUUUUCUCUCCAUUUAAAAUAAGCAAAUGAAUGCACCUUAAUAAAAAAGAAACUAUCAAUCACCGAGAGGGAUGUUUGCUUUUAGUAAAUAAAAUAAAACAAGAAUGUGCUUUCCAAUUCCCAUUAAACAAAAGAAAUGACAUGGUACUCUACCAAAUGUCCCAUCACCAUAAACUCUCACCUAAUUCUACUUUUCAUUCAUAAAACCAAAAGAAAAAUGUUAACUUGCAACCGUAACAUCCACAAAUAUGCCAGGCCAUGAAGCUGAACCCUCUUCUAAUCACAUUUUCCAUCAAUUUCUUAAAAGCAAAAUAAAUGAGUAGCUGCAGCCAAAAUUAAUGUAACACAUUCUCAAAGAAAAGAAGAAAAAUGCUAUUGAAAUCCUCUCAUCCAGAACCGUAC